UUUCCCCUGGGUGGGCAGCUGUCGGCUGGGAUGGAGGCCGGUCAGGAGACGCUGUCUGGUUCUGGUGCUUGUCUCAACAGCUAUUCAACAGUCCUGUGUUGUGUUGAGCCCUGUAUGUUCUGACUGAACCACUACUGAAGACACUUCCCAAAGACAAACACACCAAACACUGGGCUCUCAGGAGAAAUACUUGUGAUGCACUCUAAUGAAACCUGGAUUUUGCUGAAUGAAAAAUGACUGCAUCAGGGGAGUAACCUGUUUCUAGUGUUACCAUGACGCUGCCCCAACCAUUCUUGUACAAUCUCAGUAUUGGAUUCUUAUUCUGUCUUGACAGCUCAUCUACUCUCAGACAAUCAACACAUCCCCCCUCCUUUCUGUCUUCCACCUUCCCAAGCCGGCUGCAGAGAUAGAAGCACUCACACCAGCCAGAGUGUUAGAUUCACUAUUAUCACAUGCUAACUGAGGGAGUAAAAUUGAGAAAACUGAGGUAUUUGGAACAAUAACAGAAGAGGCUGUUAUUAUGGGAUGAAUGGCCUUUUAAGAGAACAGCACUGAAAUAAUGCAGAUAUGUCAAGAGAUUACAAUGAAAAUCCCCCCCACAUUCCCUUCUCUCCUGGGGCUCAGAGAAAAAUGUUCUCACCCAUAAACUGGUGACAUUCUUGAAUAAAAUCAAGAUUAAUUUAA
Long non-coding RNA from Osmerus eperlanus (European smelt), 684 nucleotides. RefSeq lists it as uncharacterized. Lineage: Eukaryota; Metazoa; Chordata; Actinopteri; Osmeriformes; Osmeridae. The record is from RefSeq and is a predicted model, not a curated record. The transcript has 3 exons.